Long non-coding RNA from Ornithorhynchus anatinus (platypus), 812 nucleotides. RefSeq lists it as uncharacterized. The transcript is spliced from 4 exons. Lineage: Eukaryota; Metazoa; Chordata; Mammalia; Monotremata; Ornithorhynchidae. The record is from RefSeq and is a predicted model, not a curated record.
UAUAACAGAGUUGAUAGACACCUUUUCACUUAUGAGAACGGGCCAGCGACCGUGCUGAUCCUUUGCAGACUCUGAGAUAAAGAAUUGUCCUUCCCUUCCGACAGCUCAGUCCCACCCCUCAUCAUCUCUUAAUAACAAUAAUUAUGGUAUUUGUUAAGCGCUUACUAUGUGCCAGGCCACUGUACUUAAUUGUGCCCGUCUCUGUCCCCAGAAGGAACUCGGGGCCUCUUCUCCCCAUUUCCCAGAUGGGGAAGGUGAGGCAGCACAAAAGGCAGGAAUCAGAACGAGGAAUCAUCUCCACAAGCCCUGGGACACUGACUGAACCGUGGGAUGGAGCGGAAGAAGCCUGCAGCAGGGUUGGGUAGCAACUCCUGGCCCACCAGCCCAAACCUAAACCACCCUGGUCAUCCUGGCUUCUCUCCUCCCAAGCCCUCAAGCUGAUCUGUUCACAAAUGUCCCCCCGUGGCUGACACCAUUCCUAAGUGAUGAACUGGAGAGGCCCGUCAGAGCUGCCCAGCAGGUUUUAAGGUUCCAGUGGAGGAGGAGAAGAUGCCAACCUGCCAGAAGGGAUGGAGAGAGGCCAGAGAACUGAUGUCCUCCUGCUCAGCGAGUGUCCAGCCUGGUAAUUCCAGAGGGAAAUUGGGAAAUUGUUAUCAGCAAGGUGACCCAUUUAACUCCUACUUAAUUCCCUUAAGAGGGGGAGAGCAGGAACACCCCCUCAUAUCCAAGACCCAUGAGAGACAGGACCCCUCUAGACAGUAAGCUCAAUGUUGGCAGCGAAUGUGUCUGAUUAUUCUAGACUGUAAGGUCAU